RNAcentral lists this ribosomal RNA (461 nucleotides) under uncultured bacterium. Its description in RNAcentral is "bacterial SSU rRNA". It matches the Rfam family "Bacterial small subunit ribosomal RNA", at positions 33 to 507 of the family's 1533-position model. The record is from RNAcentral.
ACGCUGGCGGCGCGUCUUAAACAUGCAAGUCGAACGAUCUGUAGCAAUACAGGGAGUGGCGGACGGGUGAGGAACACGUAGGAAUCUACCUUGAAGAGCGGGACAACUUUGGGAAACCGGGGCUAAUACCGCAUAGUACAGAGAUGUUAAAGGGCUAGCAAUAGUCGCUUCGAGAUGAGCCUGCGGUCUAUCAGCUUGUUGGUGAGGUAAUGGCUCACCAAGGCUACGACGGGUAGCCGGUCUGAGAGGAUGAUCGGCCACACUGGCACUGAGACACGGGCCAGACUCCUACGGGAGGCAGCAGUUAAGAAUCUUGCGCAAUGGGGGAAACCCUGACGCAGCGACGCCGCGUGAAGGAUGAAGGCUUUCGGGUUGUAAACUUCGGUAGACUGGGAAGAAGAAAUACGUUCGUUGAGGGCGUAUAGUGACGGUACCAGUCUGAAGCCCCGGCUAAUUACGUG